CCUCGAAGAGGAUUUAAUUGAAAAACUCAGAAAGGAUGUCGAUGCCCCACUGGAUCCAGUAGAGCAAGAAGAUGGUGAAGAGGAGAAAGAAACAGAGAAACUGAAAUCUAGGUUUCCAAACCUUCCGUUUGUUCGCAAGGCGAGUGUUUUCAAGGG
Molecule: non-coding RNA, 156 nt
Filed under: Striatella unipunctata
Lineage: Eukaryota; Bacillariophyta; Striatellaphyceae; Striatellales; Striatellaceae
Source: RNAcentral